GUGAAUCAUCGAAUUUUUGAACGCAAAUUGCACUCUCUUCGGAGAGUAUGCCUGUUUGAGGGUCAGCCUAAAAAAAAUCGACAUAGUCGCUGUUUUCCCGUUGACUUUCUCGGGAAAUGGGUUAAUCUUAAACUUUUGGGUUUUAAGCGGCUUAAAAUUUCCUUUACGGAUCCCCCAAAGUUUUCUAGGUUUAACUUUUAACAC
RNAcentral lists this unclassified non-coding RNA (204 nucleotides) under Glomus sp. Its description in RNAcentral is "partial contains 5.8S ribosomal RNA and internal transcribed spacer 2". The stretch from base 1 to 65 matches the Rfam family "5.8S ribosomal RNA", at positions 84 to 154 of the family's 154-position model. Lineage: Eukaryota; Fungi; Glomeromycota; Glomeromycetes; Glomerales; Glomeraceae. The record is from RNAcentral.